UACGGGGGGAGCAAGCGUUGUUCGGAUUUACUGGGCGUAAAGGGCGCGUAGGCGGCCACCGCAAGUCGACUGUGAAAUCUCCGGGCUUAACCCGGAAAGGUCAGCCGAUACUGCGGGGCUAGAGUGCAGAAGGGGCAACUGGAAUUCUCGGUGUAGCGGUGAAAAGCGUAGAUAUCGAGAGGAACACCUGCGGCGAAGGCGGGUUGCUGGGCUGACACUGACGCUGAUGUGCGAAAGCUAGGGGAGCGAACGGG
Molecule: ribosomal RNA, 254 nt
Filed under: uncultured bacterium
Lineage: Bacteria
Description: partial 16S ribosomal RNA
Rfam family: Bacterial small subunit ribosomal RNA
Source: RNAcentral